Molecule: long non-coding RNA, 355 nt
Organism: Manis javanica (Malayan pangolin)
Lineage: Eukaryota; Metazoa; Chordata; Mammalia; Pholidota; Manidae
Source: RefSeq, a predicted model, not a curated record
ACAGCCUUCAGUUGAGAAUGCUUGACUAAAGGGCUCUCUCCUUGAGGGAGCCCAAGUUAAUGGUUGAUAGCCCUUCUAUUAGUCUCUGCUGCCCAAAGGAAUUUAUGUCUCUGCUCCUAAAACAGAUUUUUCACAAUGGAUUCAGCCUGGUGUUUCUUGUGCAUAUACUUAUCUUGGAUAAAAGCAGUGUGAUGGAACAAAGAGUACUUGGAUUUUGCAAUGCCUUGUCUUAGGAAAAUAUGGACAAUUUGACCAGUGUUAAUCUCACUCUCUCUCCUUUAAAAAUUUGCUUUGGUUUUAUGCCAACCCAGAAUUGGCCAUGAAAAAAUAGAAUAAAGAAAUAAAAUUAUAUUGA